UGCACCGAAGCUGCGGCAGCGAACGUAUCACUUAAAGCGAUUCAGCGGGUUACGAUUGACGGAGCGAAGCGACGUCAAAGCGUAUACAAAGUCGAGUCGGUUUAAGGAUACGUUCGUUGGGUAGGGGAGCGUUCUGUAAGCCUGUGAAGGUGGCCUGUGAGGGUUGCUGGAGGUAUCAGAAGUGCGAAUGCUGACAUAAGUAACGAUAAAGCGGGUGAAAAGCCCGCUCGCCGGAAGACCAAGGGUUCCUGUCCAACGUUAAUCGGGGCAGGGUGAGUCGACCCCUAAGGCGAGGCCGAAAGGCGUAGUCGAUGGGAAACGGGUUAAUAUUCCCGUACUUGGUGUUACUGCGAAGGGGGGACGGAGAAGGCUAUGUUGGCCGGGCGACGGUUGUCCCGGUUUAAGCGUGUAGGUGUGUGUUCCAGGUAAAUCCGGUUCACUUUAACACUGAGGCGUGAUGACGAGGCACUACGGUGCUGAAGUAACAAAUGCCCUGCUUCCAGGAAAAGCCUCUAAGCAUCAGGUAACAUCAAAUCGUACCCCAAACCGACACAGGUGGUCAGGUAGAGAAUACCAAGGCGCUUGAGAGAACUCGGGUGAAGGAACUAGGCAAAAUGGUGCCGUAACUUCGGGAGAAGGCACGCUGACACGUAGGUGAAGUGAUUUACUCAUGGAGCUGAAGUCAGUCGAAGAUACCAGCUGGCUGCAACUGUUUAUUAAAAACACAGCACUGUGCAAACACGAAAGUGGACGUAUACGGUGUGACGCCUGCCCGGUGCCGGAAGGUUAAUUGAUGGGGUCAGCGCAAGCGAAGCUCCUGAUCGAAGCCCCGGUAAACGGCGGCCGUAACUAUAACGGUCCUAAGGUAGCGAAAUUCCUUGUCGGGUAAGUUCCGACCUGCACGAAUGGCGUAAUGAUGGCCAGGCUGUCUCCACCCGAGACUCAGUGAAAUUGAACUCGCUGUGAAGAUGCAGUGUACCCGCGGCAAGACGGAAAGACCCCGUGAACCUUUACUAUAGCUUGACACUGAACAUUGAGCCUUGAUGUGUAGGAUAGGUGGGAGGCUUUGAAGUGUGGACGCCAGUCUGCAUGGAGCCGACCUUGAAAUACCACCCUUUAAUGUUUGAUGUUCUAACGUGGACCCGUUACCCGGGUUGCGGACAGUGUCUGGUGGGUAGUUUGACUGGGGCGGUCUCCUCCUAAAGAGUAACGGAGGAGCACGAAGGUUGGCUAAUCCUGGUCGGACAUCAGGAGGUUAGUGCAAUGGCAUAAGCCAGCUUGACUGCGAGCGUGACGGCGCGAGCAGGUGCGAAAGCAGGUCAUAGUGAUCCGGUGGUUCUGAAUGGAAGGGCCAUCGCUCAACGGAUAAAAGGUACUCCGGGGAUAACAGGCUGAUACCGCCCAAGAGUUCAUAUCGACGGCGGUGUUUGGCACCUCGAUGUCGGCUCAUCACAUCCUGGGGCUGAAGUAGGUCCCAAGGGUAUGGCUGUUCGCCAUUUAAAGUGGUACGCGAGCUGGGUUUAGAACGUCGUGAGACAGUUCGGUCCCUAUCUGCCGUGGGCGCUGGAGAACUGAGGGGGGCUGCUCCUAGUACGAGAGGACCGGAGUGGACGCAUCACUGGUGUUCGGGUUGUCAUGCCAAUGGCACUGCCCGGUAGCUAAAUGCGGAAGAGAUAAGUGCUGAAAGCAUCUAAGCACGAAACUUGCCCCGAGAUGAGUUCUCCCUGAGACUUAAAGUCUCCUGAAGGAACGUUGAAGACGACGACGUUGAUAGGCCGGGUGUGUAAGCGCAGCGAUGCGUUGAGCUAACCGGUACUAAUGAACCGUGAGGCUUAACCCUACAACGCCGAAG
RNAcentral lists this ribosomal RNA (1852 nucleotides) under Salmonella enterica. RNAcentral describes it as "partial 23S ribosomal RNA". It matches the Rfam family "Bacterial large subunit ribosomal RNA", at positions 1190 to 2925 of the family's 2925-position model. The record is from RNAcentral. Lineage: Bacteria; Pseudomonadati; Pseudomonadota; Gammaproteobacteria; Enterobacterales; Enterobacteriaceae.